GCCAGGCAUGGUGGUGCAUGCCUGUAAUCCCAGCUACUUGGGAGGCUGAGGCAGGAGGAUCGCUUGACCCAGGGAGGCAGAGGUUGCAGUGUGCCAAGAUUGUGCCAUUGCACUCCAGCCUGGGCAAUAGAGUGAGACUCUGUCUCAA
Molecule: non-coding RNA, 148 nt
Filed under: Gorilla gorilla gorilla (western lowland gorilla)
Lineage: Eukaryota; Metazoa; Chordata; Mammalia; Primates; Hominidae
Source: Rfam by way of RNAcentral